This 828-nucleotide ribosomal RNA is filed under the name Klebsiella aerogenes. Its description in RNAcentral is "bacterial SSU rRNA". It matches the Rfam family "Bacterial small subunit ribosomal RNA", at positions 25 to 843 of the family's 1533-position model. The record is from RNAcentral. Lineage: Bacteria; Pseudomonadati; Pseudomonadota; Gammaproteobacteria; Enterobacterales; Enterobacteriaceae.
CAGAUUGAACGCUGGCGGCAGGCCUAACACAUGCAAGUCGAGCGGUAGCACAGAGAGCUUGCUCUCGGGUGACGAGCGGCGGACGGGUGAGUAAUGUCUGGGAAACUGCCUGAUGGAGGGGGAUAACUACUGGAAACGGUAGCUAAUACCGCAUAACGUCGCAAGACCAAAGUGGGGGACCUUCGGGCCUCAUGCCAUCAGAUGUGCCCAGAUGGGAUUAGCUAGUAGGUGGGGUAAUGGCUCACCUAGGCGACGAUCCCUAGCUGGUCUGAGAGGAUGACCAGCCACACUGGAACUGAGACACGGUCCAGACUCCUACGGGAGGCAGCAGUGGGGAAUAUUGCACAAUGGGCGCAAGCCUGAUGCAGCCAUGCCGCGUGUAUGAAGAAGGCCUUCGGGGUUGUAAAGUACUUUCAGCGAGGAGGAAGGCAUUAAGGUUAAUAACCUUGGUGAUUGACGUUACUCGCAGAAGAAGCACCGGCUAACUCCGUGCCAGCAGCCGCGGUAAUACGGAGGGUGCAAGCGUUAAUCGGAAUUACUGGGCGUAAAGCGCACGCAGGCGGUCUGUCAAGUCGGAUGUGAAAUCCCCGGGCUCAACCUGGGAACUGCAUUCGAAACUGGCAGGCUAGAGUCUUGUAGAGGGGGGUAGAAUUCCAGGUGUAGCGGUGAAAUGCGUAGAGAUCUGGAGGAAUACCGGUGGCGAAGGCGGCCCCCUGGACNAAGACUGACGCUCAGGUGCGAAAGCGUGGGGAGCNAACAGGAUUAGAUACCCUGGUAGUCCACGCCGUAAACGNNNNNNACUUGGAGGUUGUGCCCUUGAGGCGUGNC